Molecule: long non-coding RNA, 432 nt
Organism: Salvia hispanica
Lineage: Eukaryota; Viridiplantae; Streptophyta; Magnoliopsida; Lamiales; Lamiaceae
Source: RefSeq, a predicted model, not a curated record
AUCGCAACAUUUCAAUUCCACGGGUCAAAACUUAAAAACACGCGGAUCUAUUCGGGUCAAAUUAGUUAAACGGGUCAGAAUGAUUUUCUCCCAAUUCACUCUGCAUCCAUCUCCUCUCUUCGCGACUGCCCUUUUCUCUGCAGAUUCGCCUCCUCCGUCUCCGUUCAAACGGUUCAUCAGGGAAAUAAAGUGUCCUGGAGCUUCAAUGGAUCAUGUUAGGAAUUUGUCUUGGAGCUUAAAUGGAUCAUUGAUUAUGGAUCAUUGGUUUCUUGCCGCCAUAGAUUGAAGCCAAAAUUGUUUGUUUCAGAAACUAAAAGUUGAUAACCUUUUUUUUAGUAAUUAUAGUUGGAGGAAAUUUGCUUGUCUACAUAGUUGAAAACAUGUCGUGUUUUGUAUUUCUGCAUAGAUAUAUACAGAAUUUAGUGUUGAUCA